Molecule: transfer RNA, 73 nt
Filed under: Rhodogorgon sp.
Lineage: Eukaryota; Rhodophyta; Florideophyceae; Rhodogorgonales; Rhodogorgonaceae
Description: tRNA-Val
Rfam family: tRNA
About the family: Transfer RNA (tRNA) molecules are approximately 80 nucleotides in length.
Source: RNAcentral
GGGCGGUUAGCUCAGCUGGUAGAGCACCUGCCUUACAAGCAGGUAGUCACUGGUUCGAAUCCAGUACCGCCCA